GGGGAAUAUUGCACAAUGGGCGAAAGCCUGAUGCAGCGACGCCGCGUGAGGGAUGGAGGCCUUCGGGUUGUAAACCUCUUUCGCUCAUGGUCAAGCCGCGACAUUGGUUGUGGUGAGGGUAGUGGGUAAAGAAGCGCCGGCUAACUACGUGCCAGCAGCCGCGGUAAUACGUAGGGCGCGAGCGUUGUCCGGAAUUAUUGGGCGUAAAGGGCUUGUAGGCGGUUGGUCGCGUCUGCCGUGAAAUUCUCUGGCUUAACUGGGGGCGUGCGGUGGGUACGGGCUGACUUGAGUGCGGUAGGGGAGACUGGAACUCCUGGUGUAGCGGUGGAAUGCGCAGAUAUCAGGAAGAACACCGGUGGCGAAGGCGGGUCUCUGGGCCGUUACUGACGCUGAGGAGCGAAAGCGUGGGGAGCGAACAGGAUUAGAUACCCUGGUAGUCCACGCUGUAAACGUUGGGCACUAGGUGUGGGGGCCACCCGUGGUUUCUGCGCCGUAGCUAACGCUUUAAGUGCCCCGCCUGGGGAGUACGGCCGCAAGGCUA
This 541-nucleotide ribosomal RNA is filed under the name uncultured bacterium. RNAcentral describes it as "bacterial SSU rRNA". It matches the Rfam family "Bacterial small subunit ribosomal RNA", at positions 356 to 896 of the family's 1533-position model. The record is from RNAcentral.